GCUGCAACAACUGCGAAACUAUCCUUCGAAGUCAACACAAUGACCGAUGUUGUUAAUUAUAAAAUGAAUGAAACUCUGUCGUGCGACGUGUAUACCCAAAUUAUUGAAAAGCAAGUAAAAUCAUCAUUUAUAAAUGACAAAUCUCACGUAACCAAUUCCUCUUCAGCACAAGACUGUGAUUGUAGUAGUUCUUGUGAAGGAUCGAAAAGAAUAUGUGUAGUAAGAGAAUCCGCAAUAAACACAGAAUUAUCACGAAGAAUUACCUUCGAUAGCAAUACCAUUAAUAGUUCUUCAACAAACACACA
Hyposmocoma kahamanoa is the source of this 305-nucleotide long non-coding RNA. RefSeq lists it as uncharacterized. The transcript has 3 exons. NCBI's taxonomy places the organism in Eukaryota, Metazoa, Arthropoda, Insecta, Lepidoptera, Cosmopterigidae. The record is from RefSeq and is a predicted model, not a curated record.